RNAcentral lists this non-coding RNA (35 nucleotides) under Pedobacter heparinus DSM 2366. Lineage: Bacteria; Pseudomonadati; Bacteroidota; Sphingobacteriia; Sphingobacteriales; Sphingobacteriaceae. The record is from RNAcentral.
UAGGCGUAUCCUGAAAAGCCUUAGAUGAGUAAGGA